RNAcentral lists this ribosomal RNA (495 nucleotides) under uncultured bacterium. RNAcentral describes it as "partial 16S ribosomal RNA". It matches the Rfam family "Bacterial small subunit ribosomal RNA", at positions 28 to 507 of the family's 1533-position model. The record is from RNAcentral.
GAUGAACGCUGGCGGCGUGCCUAAUACAUGCAAGUAGAACGCUGAAGGAGGAGCUUGCUCUUCUGGAUGAGUUGCGAACGGGUGAGUAACGCGUAGGUAACCUGCCUGGUAGCGGGGGAUAACUAUUGGAAACGAUAGCUAAUACCGCAUGACAACAGUUAUUGCAUGAUAACUGUUUAAAAGGGGCAACUGCUCCACUACCAGAUGGACCUGCGUUGUAUUAGCUAGUUGGUGAGGUAACGGCUCACCAAGGCGACGAUACAUAGCCGACCUGAGAGGGGGUGCGGCCGCACUGGGACUGAGACACGGCCCAGACUCCUACGGGAGGCAGCAGUAGGGAAUCUUCGGCAAUGGACGGAAGUCUGACCGAGCAACGCCGCGUGAGUGAAGAAGGUUUUCGGAUCGUAAAGCUCUGUUGUAAGAGAAGAACGAGUGUGAGAGUGGAAAGUUCACACUGUGACGGUAUCUUACCAGAAAGGGACGGCUAACUACGUG